Molecule: long non-coding RNA, 1528 nt
Filed under: Carassius auratus (goldfish)
Lineage: Eukaryota; Metazoa; Chordata; Actinopteri; Cypriniformes; Cyprinidae
Description: lncRNA (ENSCARG00000050693.1)
Source: RNAcentral
AUGUUAAUUAUCACACACUUCAGAUGUUACAAAUGUGCAGAGCUGAAUGUGUUUCCAUGGAUUGCAGUAAAAUCACAACAGAAGUUCCAGUUUGUCACAGUGAUUCUGUUGCAGACGUCUGCAGGAAAGGCCUCUGAAUCCAGAGACGCUGAAAAUGCUUCUGCUCAAGAUGACAGAGAUACAGACACAAAGAAACCUGAAGCGGAGGAGAUUGCAUAUGCCAGCAUUACAUUUCACCAUCCAGCUAAUGAAGCCAAAUCUGCUGCAAGCCAAGACAUGGAUGUAUCUGUGAUUUACAGCGGCAUUAGAUGAUCCAGCCUAAUCUAUGUAGAUCCAGAUCAUGAAAAGAAAAUGUAAUCAUGUUUUGGGUUUUGCCUUGCUUAUUAAGCAUUUGCAGCUCCAUCAUGGUUAACAUUUGGAUGAUUUACAUCUCUUGUAAGCCAAAUAAACAAACAAGCACAGAGUGAAGUGAAUGUAGUAUGAGGCAUUUGUGAUCUCUCUCUCUCUCUCUCUCUCUCUCUCUCUCUCUCUCUCUCUCCAUAUCUAGACAUUUAAAGAAUUUGCUGUUUAUUUCUUUCUCGUUCAAGUCGCACCAUACAUAAUUUCGCAAAGUAAAAUACAUAGGCUUUUUACUUGUAUUUAAAUCAAGACCAGCACACUGCAGAAACAUGAACACACGUGUGCCAUGCUAAUCCAAGUGAGAGUCGUCACAUCUGCUCAGCUGUGGACAAAAAUCACUUUAACAGAAUGCAUUGCUAUAUCCCACGUGCUAAUAAAAAGGUACAAACACUUCAGUGAUUUCAGAGUCUUCCAUCAGGUGUCAGCUGUUUAAAACGGUGGCUGACAUUACAGAACUUAAAACUAUCUGAACAGGUUAGUGUGAUUGAUGAAUACUGUUUUUAGUUUCACAUACAGUAUUAGGAACUCUUAUCUCUUUCUCUUAACCUCAGGAUAGUCUUGGGGUUCAUUAAAGGAACAGUAACCCAACACAUUUGUCAAUUUAAAAUGAAACAACCUAGGAGCAUCGCAACCCUUCAUUUCUGUUUCGCAUGCAAACUCUACAUGCAAAAGGGAUAUUUAUUUAUACAAAUAAUGGCGUGAUCAUAUUUCCAAGUGAUGUGUUUUUGAACCUUGACCAGUACAUUUGGUUUUGUUUUUCUUCCAAGGAGUUUUUGCUAUAUACUGUUCAGAAAUGUUGUUGAUUGAAAUUGUCCGGACAAACCUGUGCCAUGCUUGUAAUGUAGAAUGUGUUUGGGUUUGAGGAUAUUGUAUUUAAUAUGUUUUAUAGAUUGCCAUAUACAUCCUCUCCCAGGGUUGUGUUGCACUGUAGGUUCUGGUAGAUUGGGUCUGAUUGGCUUUCAUUAUUAGACUUGUCACUGGACAUCUUCAUGGUGAUGUAGUGUCUGUCAUCAGGAGUGUUCUGAUAAACAGCAUUAGCCUAAAUCAAAGACAUAAAGCAUAAUUCUAUUGUUAAUAAUCUGUUGAAGUGGCUUAUAAGCAGAAGUUAACCCCACAUGAAAAGAACCUA